RNAcentral lists this unclassified non-coding RNA (144 nucleotides) under uncultured fungus. RNAcentral's name for it is "sequence contains ITS1". The record is from RNAcentral. Lineage: Eukaryota; Fungi.
UUAAUUCUUGCUUUUAGUUCAGACAAACACUUUACUGCAUAGAUGCGGGGCCAGAGCCCCGAAGCACGGUUCGCUUCCACGGGUUUGAAGGUUGAAGGCCAAAGCCAUUCAGUAAUGAUCCCUCCGCAGGUUCACCUACGGAAA